RNAcentral lists this ribosomal RNA (397 nucleotides) under uncultured bacterium. RNAcentral describes it as "bacterial SSU rRNA". It matches the Rfam family "Bacterial small subunit ribosomal RNA", at positions 29 to 418 of the family's 1533-position model. The record is from RNAcentral.
AGUGAACGCUGGCGGCGUGCUUAACACAUGCAAGUCGAACGAGAACGGAUUAUAGCUUGCUAUAAUUGUCAGCUAAGUGGCGCACGGGUGAGUAAUGUAUAGGUAAUAUGCCUCUUACUAAGGGAUAACAAAUGGAAACGUUUGCUAAUACCUUAUACUCCUUAUUAACAGAAGUUAAUAAGGGAAAGAUUUAUUGGUAAGAGAUUAGCCUGUAUUGUAUCAGUUAGUUGGUGGGGUAAUGGCUUACCGAGACUAUGACACAUAACUGGUUUGAGAGGAUGAUCAGUCACACUGGAACUGAGACACGGUCCAGACUCCUACGGGAGGCAGCAGUGGGGAAUAUUGCACAAUGGACGAAAGUCUGAUGCAGCAACGCCGCGUGGAGGAUGACACAUUU